UAGGGAAUCUUCGGCAAUGGGGGGAACCCUGACCGAGCAACGCCGCGUGAGUGAAGAAGGUUUUCGGAUCGUAAAGCUCUGUUGUUAAGGAAGAACGAGUGUGAGAAUGGAAAGUUCAUACUGUGACGGUACUUAACCAGAAAGGGACGGCUAACUACGUGCCAGCAGCCGCGGUAAUACGUAGGUCCCGAGCGUUGUCCGGAUUUAUUGGGCGUAAAGCGAGCGCAGGCGGUUAGAUAAGUCUGAAGUUAAAGGCAGUGGCUCAACCAUUGUAGGCUUUGGAAACUGUUUAACUUGAGUGCAGAAGGGGGGGGUGGAAAUCCAUGUGUAGCGGUGAUAUGCGUAGAUAUAUGAAGGAACACCGGUGGCGAAAGCGGCUCUCUGGUCUGUAACUGACGCAGAGGCUCGAAAGCGUGGGGAGCGAACAGG
This 429-nucleotide ribosomal RNA is filed under the name Bacteroidota bacterium. RNAcentral describes it as "Bacteroidetes bacterium partial 16S ribosomal RNA". It matches the Rfam family "Bacterial small subunit ribosomal RNA", at positions 355 to 776 of the family's 1533-position model. Lineage: Bacteria; Pseudomonadati; Bacteroidota. The record is from RNAcentral.